RNAcentral lists this small RNA (493 nucleotides) under Pan troglodytes (chimpanzee). Its description in RNAcentral is "processed transcript". Lineage: Eukaryota; Metazoa; Chordata; Mammalia; Primates; Hominidae. The record is from RNAcentral.
CCGCCGCUGCCAACGAGCUCAACAACAACCUCCCGGGCGGCGCGCCGGCCGCACCUGCCGUCCCCGGUCCCGGGGGCGUGAACUGCGCGGUCGGCUCCGCCAUGCUGACGCGGGCGGCCCCCGGCCCGCGGCGGUCGGAGGACGAGCCCCCAGCCGCCUCUACCUCGGCUGCACCGCCGCCCCGGCGUGACGAGGAGGAGCCGGACGGCGUCCCGGAGAAGGGCAAGAGCUCGGGCCCCAGUGCCAGGAAAGGCAAGGGGCAGAUCGAGAAGAGGAAGCUGCGGGAGAAGCGGCGCUCCACCGGCGUGGUCAACAUCCCUGCCGCAGAGGAUAGCCGUCUUCUGGAAAAAUCUUUGUAUAUAUUUACAAAUCCUGUACUUCUCCUGCUUUGUUUUUAUAGUGCUUAGAUGAGUACGAAGAUGAUGAAGCAGGGCAGAAAGAGCGGAAACGAGAAGAUGCAAUUACACAACAGAACACUAUGCAGAAUGAAGCU